CCUACGGGUGGCAGCAGUGGGGGAUAUUGCACAAUGGGGGAAACCCUGAUGCAGCGACGCCGCGUGGGUGAAGAAGCGCCUCGGCGCGUAAAGCCCUGUCAGCAGGGAAGUAAAUGACGGUACCUGUAGAUGAAGCCCCGGCUAACUACGUGCCAGCAGCCGCGGUAACACGUAGGAGGCAAGCGUUAUCCGGAUUUACUGGGUGUAAAGGGGGCGUAGUCGGGGGUGCAAGCCAGUGGUGAAAGCCCGGGGUCCAACCUCGGGACUGCUCUGGGAACUGCGUGGCUAGAGUGCAGGAGGGGCAGGCGGAAUUCGUGGUGUAGCGGUGAAAUGCGUAGAUAUCAGGAAGAACACCGGUGGCGAAGGCGGCCUACUAGACUGCAACUGACGUUGAGGCCCGAAAGCGUGGGGAGCAAACAGGAUUAGAUACCCUUGUAGUC
Molecule: ribosomal RNA, 440 nt
Filed under: uncultured bacterium
Lineage: Bacteria
Description: partial 16S ribosomal RNA
Rfam family: Bacterial small subunit ribosomal RNA
Source: RNAcentral